GAUGAAGAACGUAGCGAAAUGCGAUAAGUAAUGUGAAUUGCAGAAUUCAGUGAAUCAUCGAAUCUUUGAACGCACAUUGCGCCCCCUGGUAUUCCGGGGGGCAUGCCUGUUCGAGCGUCAUUUCACCACUCAAGCCUCGCUUGGUAUUGGGCAACGGGGUCCGCCGCGUGCCUCAAAUCGACCGGCUGGGUCUUCUGUCCCCUAAGCGUUGUGGAAACUAUUCGCUAAAGGGUGUUCGGGAGGCUACGCCGUAAAACAACCCCAUUUCUAAGGUUGACCUCGGAUCAGGUAGGGAUACCCGCUGAACUUAAGCAUAUCAAUAAGCGGAGGA
RNAcentral lists this unclassified non-coding RNA (331 nucleotides) under soil metagenome. RNAcentral describes it as "partial contains 5.8S ribosomal RNA, internal transcribed spacer 2, and large subunit ribosomal RNA". The stretch from base 1 to 120 matches the Rfam family "5.8S ribosomal RNA", at positions 35 to 154 of the family's 154-position model. The record is from RNAcentral.